This 975-nucleotide ribosomal RNA is filed under the name Triticum aestivum (bread wheat). Its description in RNAcentral is "partial small subunit ribosomal RNA". The record is from RNAcentral. Lineage: Eukaryota; Viridiplantae; Streptophyta; Magnoliopsida; Poales; Poaceae.
AUGGACGACACGAACAUGUUCAUUCAGUGGGCCAUGGAGACGCUGGAGCAGGAGCAGGACGUCGCGGCCGCCGGAGACGUCUUCCCGUCGUCACUCCUAGAGCUCGACUACUCGGCGGCGCUGCAGAACGGCACGCACAUGGCGGCCCACCGACACGGAGCCAACGACAGCUGGAGCUCGGGCGACAGUGGCGCCGCGGUGGCCGUGGAGAACGACGGCUGGUCGUCCAACUGCGGCACCAACUACCCGGCCGCGAGCUGGAACUUCACCUCGGCCAGAGCGCAGCCGCCCAGCAUUAUCGAGGCCACCCCGAGCCCACCCGCAGCUCCCGGCCACGUCGUGCCGGAGCUGGCGCACAGGUCGCCACCGUCGAGGAAAUUCUCAGGCACCAGUACAGGGAUGGAGCCGACCGUGCACGAACACGUCAUGGCGGAGCGGAAGCGCCGGGAGAAGAUCAACCGACGCUUCAUAGAGCUCUCCACCGUCAUCCCCGGCCUCAAGAGGAUGGACAAGGCGACCAUACUGUCCGACGCACUGAGGUGCGUCAAGGAGCAGCAGGAGAAGCUCAAGGCAUUCGAGGGCCGUGAGGUGAGGAGCAUCGACUCGGUGGUGCUAGUGAAGAGGCCGUGCAUCUCCAAUGGCGAUGAUGGCUACCCGUCACCGGCGUCGUCAGCAGCAGCUGGAGGAGGUCCACCGAUGACAAGGAUCCCGUUGCCGGAGAUCGAGGCAAGGAUCUCGGAGAGCAAUGUGAUGAUGAGGAUCCACUGCCAGGACGGCAAAGGGGUCCUUGUCACGUUGCUCGCCGAGGUCGAGGGGCUCCACCUUAGCAUCACACAUACCAAUGUCGUGUCUUUCCCGGCUUCCACUCUGAUCAUAAACCUCAUGGCCAAGGCAGACGAGGGCUUCACCGUCACAGCAGACGACAUUGUAUGGAAGCUUGACUGUGCUUUGCGCCGACAUCAUAGCAGCAAAUGA